UGGGGAAUUUUGGACAAUGGGCGAAAGCCUGAUCCAGCAAUGCCGCGUGUGUGAAGAAGGCCUUCGGGUUGUAAAGCACUUUUCCUGGGGAAGAAAUCGCUAGGGUGAACAAUCUUAGCGGAUGACGGUACCUGGGGAAUAAGCACCGGCUAACUCCGUGCCAGCAGCCGCGGUAAUACGGAGGGGGCGAGCGUUAAUCGGAAUUACUGGGCGUAAAGGGUGCGUAGGUGGCCUGCUGAGUCCGAUGGG
Molecule: ribosomal RNA, 249 nt
Filed under: uncultured Lysobacteraceae bacterium
Lineage: Bacteria; Pseudomonadati; Pseudomonadota; Gammaproteobacteria; Lysobacterales; Lysobacteraceae
Description: uncultured Xanthomonadaceae bacterium partial 16S ribosomal RNA
Rfam family: Bacterial small subunit ribosomal RNA
Source: RNAcentral